AACGAACACUGGCGGCGUGCCUAACACAUGCAAGUCGUGCGAGAAAGUUCCUUCGGGAGCGAGUAAAGCGGCGCACGGGUGAGUAACACGUAGGUAACCUGCCCCCCAGUCUGGAACAACUAGAGGAAACUCUAGCUAAUGCCGGAUGAGACCACGAUCCCUUCGGGGGUUGCGGCCAAAGAUGGCCUCUACUUGUAAGCUAUCGCUGAGGGAUGGGCCUGCGGGCCAUUAGCUUGUUGGUGAGGUAACGGCUCACCAAGGCUGUGAUGGCUAGCUGGUCUGAGAGGAUGACCAGCCACACUGGGACUGAGACACGGCCCAGACUCCUACGGGAGGCAGCAGUGGGGAAUAUUGCGCAAUGGGCGAAAGCCUGACGCAGCGACGCCGCGUGGGUGAUGAAGGCC
Molecule: ribosomal RNA, 404 nt
Filed under: uncultured bacterium
Lineage: Bacteria
Description: bacterial SSU rRNA
Rfam family: Bacterial small subunit ribosomal RNA
Source: RNAcentral